RNAcentral lists this ribosomal RNA (304 nucleotides) under uncultured bacterium. Its description in RNAcentral is "partial 16S ribosomal RNA". It matches the Rfam family "Bacterial small subunit ribosomal RNA", at positions 506 to 807 of the family's 1533-position model. The record is from RNAcentral.
CAGCAGCAGCCGCGGGAAAACGAAGGGUGCAAGCGUUACUCGGAAUUACUGGGCGUAAAGCGUGCGUAGGUGGUGGCUUAAGUCCGUUGUGAAAGCCCUGGGCUCAACCUGGGAAUUGCAGUGGAUACUGGGUCACUAGAGUGUGGUAGAGGAUAGUGGAAUUUCCGGUGUAGCAGUGAAAUGCGUAGAGAUCGGAAGGAACAUCUGUGGCGAAGGCGACUAUCUGGGCCAACACUGACACUGAGGCACGAAAGCGUGGGGAGCAAACAGGAUUAGAUACCCCAGUAGUCCCUGUCUCUUAUAC